UGAGUAACCUGCCCUUAACUCUGGGAUAACCCCGGGAAACCGGGGCUAAUACCGGAUACGACCUCCGCGGGCAUCUGCGGAGGUGGAAAGGUUUCCGGCUGAGGAUGGGCCCGCGGCCCUAUAAGCUUGUUGGUGGGGGUGGACGGCCCGCCAAGGCGACGACGGGUAGCCGGCCUGAGAGGGCGACCGGCCACACUGGGACCGAGACACGGCCCAGACUCCUACGGGAGGCA
This 233-nucleotide ribosomal RNA is filed under the name uncultured bacterium. RNAcentral's name for it is "partial 16S ribosomal RNA". It matches the Rfam family "Bacterial small subunit ribosomal RNA", at positions 118 to 350 of the family's 1533-position model. The record is from RNAcentral.